GUAGUCUCGCACAGAUGCAUAUCAAUAAGCGGAGGAAAAGAAACUAACUAGGAUUCCCUCAGUAACGGCGAGUGAAGCGGGAAGAGCUCAAAUUUGAAAUCUUCAAGGUUCUACCUUGACGAAUUGUAGUUUAAAGAAGUGUUUUCUGCUGGAGUUUUGGUAAAAGUUCUUUGGAAUAGGACAUCAUAGAGGGUGAGAAUCCCGUAUUUGACCAUUAUUUCCAGCUUUGUGAUACACUUUCAAGAGUCGGAUUGUUUGGGAAUGCAGUCCAAAAUGGGUGGUAAAUUUCAUCUAAAGCUAAAUAUUGGCGAGAGACCGAUAGCGAACAAGUACCGUGAGGGAAAGAUGAAAAGAACUUUGAAAAGAGAGUUAAACAGUACGUGAAAUUGUCAAAAGGGAAGCGUUUGACACCAGUGUUGUUUUUCUGAAAAUCAAUUAAAGAACUGUUUAUGCUAAGCUGUUUAGACUUUAUCAGCUAUCUGUUUAGUUUUGAGCUUUUCUUUAAUGCACUUUUCAGUUAACAAGUCAACAUCAAUUUCUUUUGCUGUAAAAAAGCUUGAGGAAGGUGGCUUGAGAUUCGUCUUAAGUGUUUAUAGCCUCUUAGCCUAUGCAGUCGGAGAGAUUGAGGUCUGCAGCGUAGAUCCUUCGGGGCUAAAUGCAUUUGUGCUAAGUUAUAGCAUUUCAUAGACAACUUGUUGACUAUGAUCAGUCAUGUAGCUUACUCGCUUAUGCUAUUUUACCUACGCUUAGGAUGUUGAAGUCAUCGUAUCGCGC
Molecule: ribosomal RNA, 774 nt
Filed under: uncultured Neocallimastigales
Lineage: Eukaryota; Fungi; Neocallimastigomycota; Neocallimastigomycetes; Neocallimastigales
Description: partial large subunit ribosomal RNA
Rfam family: Eukaryotic large subunit ribosomal RNA
Source: RNAcentral